This 526-nucleotide long non-coding RNA is filed under the name Mus musculus (house mouse). Its description in RNAcentral is "cDNA sequence BC048602". Lineage: Eukaryota; Metazoa; Chordata; Mammalia; Rodentia; Muridae. The record is from RNAcentral.
UGCUCAACCUCAACUUCUAAUCAGGCUUGUGGAGUGCAGAGGAGAACUCUGCAGACCGCCUCCGAGGUGAGCAAGAUGGCUCUGCAGGGAAAGGAGCUUGCCAAGAAGCCUGAUGGCCUGAGUUCAAUCCCCGAGGCCCACAUGGCAGAAGGACAGACAUGGAUCCUUCAAGAAGAGACAAGGCAGGUCUGCAGGUAGAUUGUGUGAGACACUUUCAGUUUUAAAACAGCAACACAAUCAAGAGAUCACCUCUUUUUCUGCCUCUGGAAUUUGGUGAGAACACAAUGGACUGGUGCUUGGAGCUGCUGCAGCCAUCUUGUGGACAUGAAGGGAGCCCCAAUCUACCUAGAAAAAAUGGAAGAACAGAAAUACAGGUACAGCUGGGACCAAGAUGAUCUUGCCACUUCAGUACAUUACAAAACCCGAGACCCCAUCUUAAAACAUCUGAUGAAAUAGAAGAGUCUUCUAUUGUUGAAGAUUUGUUAGAUUUUUCUGUUUCUUUCAUUAAAAAUCAUCAUAACAGAUA